This 166-nucleotide ribosomal RNA is filed under the name Pseudomonas aeruginosa. RNAcentral's name for it is "partial 16S ribosomal RNA". It matches the Rfam family "Bacterial small subunit ribosomal RNA", at positions 1368 to 1533 of the family's 1533-position model. The record is from RNAcentral. Lineage: Bacteria; Pseudomonadati; Pseudomonadota; Gammaproteobacteria; Pseudomonadales; Pseudomonadaceae.
ACGUUCCCGGGCCUUGUACACACCGCCCGUCACACCAUGGGAGUGGGUUGCUCCAGAAGUAGCUAGUCUAACCGCAAGGGGGACGGUUACCACGGAGUGAUUCAUGACUGGGGUGAAGUCGUAACAAGGUAGCCGUAGGGGAACCUGCGGCUGGAUCACCUCCUUA